AUGACAAAGGCAAAAAGAGACGGAGGUAUUGGUUUCCGUGAUAUGCACUUAUUCAAUCAAGCGCUUCUAGCAUGAAAGGGAUGGAGGCUAUUACAAAAUCCAAACAGUCUUUGUGCAACGGUUUUAAAAUCUAAAUACUACCCGAACGAUGACUUGAUGAACAUGGUAUUCGCCACAGAACGAUGA
Molecule: ribosomal RNA, 186 nt
Filed under: Triticum aestivum (bread wheat)
Lineage: Eukaryota; Viridiplantae; Streptophyta; Magnoliopsida; Poales; Poaceae
Description: partial small subunit ribosomal RNA
Source: RNAcentral